AACGAACGCUGGCGGCAGGCCUAACACAUGCAAGUCGAACGCACCGCAAGGUGAGUGGCGCACGGGUGAGUAACACGUGGGAAUGUACCCUUUGGUUCGGAAUAACGUUUGGAAACGAACGCUAAUACCGGAUGAGCCCUGCGGGGGAAAGAUUUAUCGCCAAAGGAGCAGCCCGCGUCUGAUUAGCUAGUUGGUGGGGUAAAGGCCUACCAAGGCGACGAUCAGUAGCUGGUCUGAGAGGAUGAUCAGCCACACUGGGACUGAGACACGGCCCAGACUCCUACGGGAGGCAGCAGUGGGGAAUAUUGGACAAUGGGCGCAAGCCUGAUCCAGCCAUGCCGCGUGAGUGAUGAAGGCCUCGGGUUGGUUAAAGGCUCUUUCGUCACGCGACGAUGAUGACGGUAGC
This 406-nucleotide ribosomal RNA is filed under the name uncultured bacterium. RNAcentral's name for it is "bacterial SSU rRNA". It matches the Rfam family "Bacterial small subunit ribosomal RNA", at positions 29 to 479 of the family's 1533-position model. The record is from RNAcentral.